This 395-nucleotide ribosomal RNA is filed under the name uncultured bacterium. Its description in RNAcentral is "partial 16S ribosomal RNA". It matches the Rfam family "Bacterial small subunit ribosomal RNA", at positions 338 to 730 of the family's 1533-position model. The record is from RNAcentral.
CCUACGGGCGACAGCAGUGAGGAAUAUUGGUCAAUGGGCGGAAGCCUGAACCAGCCAAGUAGCGUGAAGGAUGACGGCCCUACGGGUUGUAAACUGCCUUUAUAGGGGAAUAAAGUGACUCACGUGUUCGGCUUUGCAUGUACUGUAUGAAUAAGGACCGGCUAAUUCCGUGCCAGCAGCCGCGGUAAUACGGAGGGUCCGGGCGUUAUCCGGAUUUAUUGGGUUUAAAGGGAGCGUAGGCCGGAUGUCAAGUCUGCUGUGAAAGGUCCGGGCUCAACCCGGGAAUUGCAGUGGAAACUGGCAGGCUUGAGUCCGCGUGAGGCAGGCGGAAUUCGUGGUGUAGCGGUGAAAUGCUUAGAUAUGACGAAGAACCCCGAUUGCGAAGGCAGCUUGCU